GACGAACGCUGGCGGCGUGCCUAACACAUGCAAGUUGAGCGACGAACCAGGGCUUGCCCUGGGGCAAAGCAGCGAACGGGUGAGUAACACGUGGGUAACCUACCCCUAUAACCGGGACAACCCGAGGAAACUCGGGCUAAUACCGGAUGUGCUCACUGGACUUCGGUUCAGUGCGUAAAGGAAGCUUCGGCCUCCGUAUCGGGAGUGGCCCUCGGCCCAUUAGUUUGUUGGUGGGGUAACGGCUCACCAAGACCGCGAUGGGUAGCUGGUCUGAGAGGACGAUCAGCCACACUGGAACUGAGACACGGCCCAGACUCCUACGGGAGGCAGCAGUGGGGAAUCUUGCGCAAUGCGCGAAAGCGUGACGCAGCAACGCCGCGUGGGGGAAGAAGGCCUUCGGGUUGUAAACCCCUUUCAGGAGGGACGAAGGUUCGGCGGUGAAUAGCCGCCCGGACUGACGGUACCUCCACAAGAAGCCCCGGCUAACUACGUG
This 493-nucleotide ribosomal RNA is filed under the name uncultured bacterium. Its description in RNAcentral is "partial 16S ribosomal RNA". It matches the Rfam family "Bacterial small subunit ribosomal RNA", at positions 28 to 507 of the family's 1533-position model. The record is from RNAcentral.